This 500-nucleotide ribosomal RNA is filed under the name uncultured bacterium. RNAcentral describes it as "partial 16S ribosomal RNA". It matches the Rfam family "Bacterial small subunit ribosomal RNA", at positions 30 to 523 of the family's 1533-position model. The record is from RNAcentral.
AUUGAUCGCUGGCGGCAUGCCUUACACAUGCAAGUCGAACGGCAGCACGGACUUCGGUCUGGUGGCGAGUGGCGAACGGGUGAGUAAUACAUCGGAACGUGCCCAAUCGUGGGGGAUAACGUAGCGAAAGCUACGCUAAUACCGCAUACGAUCUAAGGAUGAAAGCGGGGGAUCGCAAGACCUCGCGCGAUUGGAGGGGCCGAUGGCAGAUUAGGUAGUUGGUAGGGUAAAGGCCUACCAAGCCGACGAUCUGUAGCUGGUCUGAGAGGAUGAUCAGCCACACUGGGACUGAGACACGGCCCAGACUCCUACGGGAGGCAGCAGUGGGGAAUUUUAGACAAUGGACGCAAGUCUGAUCCAGCCAUUCCGCGUGCAGGAUGAAGGCCCUCGGGUUGUAAACUGCUUUUGUACAGAGCGAAAAGGCUCUGGUUAAUACCUAGGGCUCAUGACGGUACUGUAAGAAUAAGCACCGGCCAACUACGUGCCAGCCGCCGCUGUAA